This 253-nucleotide ribosomal RNA is filed under the name uncultured bacterium. RNAcentral's name for it is "partial 16S ribosomal RNA". It matches the Rfam family "Bacterial small subunit ribosomal RNA", at positions 524 to 776 of the family's 1533-position model. The record is from RNAcentral.
UACAGAGGGUGCUAGCGUUGUUCGGAAUCAUUGGGCGUAAAGGGCGUGUAGGCGGUUUGUUAAGUCAUGUGUGAAAUCCCUCGGCUCAACCGGGGAACGACGCAUGAAACUGGCACGCUAGAGUUCGGGAGAGGAUGGUGGAAUUCCCAGUGUAGAGGUGAAAUUCGUAGAUAUUGGGAAGAACACCGAUGGCGAAGGCAGCCAUCUGGACCGACACUGACGCUGAGGCGCGAAAGCGUGGGGAGCAAACAGG